RNAcentral lists this ribosomal RNA (484 nucleotides) under uncultured bacterium. RNAcentral describes it as "partial 16S ribosomal RNA". It matches the Rfam family "Bacterial small subunit ribosomal RNA", at positions 30 to 507 of the family's 1533-position model. The record is from RNAcentral.
AUUGAACGCUGGCGGCAGGCCUAACACAUGCAAGUCGAGCGGAUGAAGGGAGCUUGCUCCUGGAUUCAGCGGCGGACGGGUGAGUAAUGCCUAGGAAUCUGCCUGGUAGUGGGGGAUAACGUCCGGAAACGGGCGCUAAUACCGCAUACGUCCUGAGGGAGAAAGUGGGGGAUCUUCGGACCUCACGCUAUCAGAUGAGCCUAGGUCGGAUUAGCUAGUUGGUGGGGUAAAGGCCUACCAAGGCGACGAUCCGUAACUGGUCUGAGAGGAUGAUCAGUCACACUGGAACUGAGACACGGUCCAGACUCCUAUGGGAGGCAGCAGUGGGGAAUAUUGGACGAUGGGCGAAAGCCUGAUCCAGCCAUGCCGCGUGUGUGAAGAAGGUCUUCGGAUUGUAAAGCACUUUAAGUUGGGAGGAAGAGCAGUAAGUUAAUACCUUGCUGUUUUGACGUUACCAACAGAAUAAGCACCGGCUAACUUCGUG